GGGAUUUUAGCUCAGUGGUAGAGUGCUUGCUCGCACAUAUGAGACACUGGGUUCAAUCCUCAGUACCA
Molecule: transfer RNA, 68 nt
Filed under: Marmota monax (woodchuck)
Lineage: Eukaryota; Metazoa; Chordata; Mammalia; Rodentia; Sciuridae
Description: tRNA.Undet
Source: RNAcentral